RNAcentral lists this ribosomal RNA (483 nucleotides) under uncultured bacterium. Its description in RNAcentral is "partial 16S ribosomal RNA". It matches the Rfam family "Bacterial small subunit ribosomal RNA", at positions 28 to 507 of the family's 1533-position model. The record is from RNAcentral.
GACGAACGCUGGCGGCGUGCUUAACACAUGCAAGUCGAACGCUGAAGCUCAGCUUUUGUUGGGUGGAUGAGUGGCGAACGGGUGAGUAACACGUGAGUAACCUGCCCCCUUCUUUGGGAUAACGCCCGGAAACGGGUGCUAAUACUGGAUAUUCACUGGUCUUCGCAUGGGGGUUGGUGGAAAGGGUUUUUCUGGUGGGGGAUGGGCCCGCGGCCUAUCAGCUUGUUGGUGGGGUGAUGGCCUACCAAGGCUUUGACGGGUAGCCGGCCUGAGAGGGUGACCGGUCACAUUGGGACUGAGAUACGGCCCAGACUCCUACGGGAGGCAGCAGUGGGGAAUAUUGCACAAUGGGCGCAAGCCUGAUGCAGCGACGCCGCGUGAGGGAUGGAGGCCUUCGGGUUGUGAACCUCUUUCGCUCAUGGUCAAGCCACAACAAUGGUUGUGGUGAGGGUAGUGGGUAAAGAAGCGCCGGCUAACUACGUG